CUUUAGAAUCAUCCGGAAGAUGUAACACAGAGCGCUGGGUCUCACCCCAAGGAUUUCUAAUUCUGCAGACUGAGCAGAGACAUGGAUUUGCAUUUCUAGCAAAUUCUAACGCUCUUGGCCCAGUCAGCCUCUCAGAGAACCAGCUUUCUGCGCUGCCUGGUGCCACUGCUCCUUAUAUAUUUACAAGAGUGAUGAUAGCUCUUCCUGGCUGA
This is a long non-coding RNA of Bos indicus x Bos taurus (hybrid cattle), 212 nucleotides long. The record is from Ensembl. Lineage: Eukaryota; Metazoa; Chordata; Mammalia; Artiodactyla; Bovidae.